Non-coding RNA from Zonotrichia albicollis (white-throated sparrow), 1573 nucleotides. NCBI's taxonomy places the organism in Eukaryota, Metazoa, Chordata, Aves, Passeriformes, Passerellidae. The record is from RefSeq and is a predicted model, not a curated record.
GCUGCAUUAUUUUUUUUUUAAUUCCAAAGGGUGAUUCCCAAAAUCCUGGGAAUCUCCUGCCCUGGGAGCUGCUGGAAUUUGCUCAUUCCUCCUCCAAAGGUGAGGCAGGAUCCUGUGAAAUUCCUGGGAUUUGGGGUGAAGCCCUGGAUUGGGAGCACUGGGAGCACCCCAGGCUGGAUUCUUAAGGACUGGGAGCUCCCCAGGUGGAUUUUGGGACACUGGGAGCUCCCCAGGCUGGAUUUUGGGGGAUUGGGAGCGCCCCAGGAUGGCAAAAAGACCCCAAAAACCCCAGCUCUGCUUUUCCCUGAUCUGCUCCCCUUCCCAAACCUCUCCCAUUCCAAAGAAGAGUGGGAAUGCUGUCACCAUCACCCCAUGGAGGGAACAGAAUUUUCCCUGGAUUUGUCCUGGAUUAACUCACACCUUCCCAAUUCCCUGCAUACCACUAUCCAUCCUUGAUCCACUUUUCCUUUUUCCAGGAUCUCUUUUAUUUUUUGGGAAGAAAAGCUGGAGCAGGCCUGGUUCUUGGGAAGGUUUUCCCUCACACAGUGCCAUGAGGUAUUUCCAUGGAUUUUCAGGCUCAGUUUCACCCAGAAACCUGGAAUUUUUUUAAGGAUUGUGGGGUUUUUUUUCCCCCUCCAAAUCCCAGCUGGAGGAGGCAGGCAGGGCAGGAUUUGUAGCACCUUUUGUGGCAAAGCAGCUUGGAAUUUUUUCCAUUGAAAUCCACAGGAAUUCCAGGACUGGGAUUGUCCCAGGGCUCCAGGGAAUCCUCAGAUCCAGCAGGAUGGGGCAAUUCCUCGGAUUCAGAGCACUGGAACGCUGCUCCUUGACACACGGCAGGGGAGAAUUCUCCAGAAUUCCCAGCUGGAAGUUCCCCCAUGGAAUUCCUGCUCGGGGGAUGGAGCAGCAGCCGGGGAUCCCAAGGGGCGAGGGAGGGAAUUUGGGCCCAAAAUCAGGGAAAGAGCCAAAACUCUCUUGGAUUUUGUUCCUGAUGUCCCAGGGAGAGGAGAGAGCUGCUCCAGGAGGAUUCACUCCAUUCCCAGCCUCUGGAAUCCACCAGGGACAGGCUGGGAGAGCCCAUCCCAGGUCUGGGAUCCCUGCAGGAUCCAGGGGCAGCUUCAGCAAUUCCAGCAGCAGCUCUUCCACCUUCCCAGGGCUCCAGGGAACCUCCCAGCAGCGUCACCUUUGGAUCCACCACAUCCCACGCUCCUCCUUCCUCCCUUCCUUCCAUCUUCCACGGCUCCAAGCUUUUCCCAGGAUGCUCCUGCCUCUCCUGGAGGGUUUGGAUCUCUUCUCCCAAAUCCUGGGGAGCGGGGGAGCUGUGGAGCUGCUCGGAACUCCACACUUUGUUUAUUCCCAGGGGUUCUUCCAGCCCCUGGCUCCGUUUGCAGCUCUCCAGAGAGGAUCAAAGCCUUGCCACGAUGCCUGGGAGCAGAUGGAUCUUCCCAGAGAAUUCCCCCUUUUCUCCUCCCUCUCCCCCACCUGGAAAUUCCCAAGGUGGGAUCUGAAAAUCCAGCGGGAUCAGAAAAUCCAGUUUUUCCUCAUGCUGAAGAUCCAAAAAAAAAAAAAAUUAAAA